UGACAACCCCCCAUCCAGAGGAGAGUGAAAUUGCUCUCUACGAUUUGGACAGGUCAUGAAAAGCUAUCUCUAGAAAUUUUUGAAACCUUAUAUUUCAUUUCAAAAAUGAGUGCGAUUUUGCAUUUCUACCGCAAAAUAUAUCUCAGCCACAUACCGUUGGACCUAAUGUGACCAGCUGGCCCCAGGUGUGUCCAGACACACAACUUUGGACAUAUUAGGAGAAAUGAUCAGACUUCAGAAGGCCAAACCCAGCCCCUCCUGCUCUUGUGGCCGUGUCUCUUCCAGGUUUCUUGCCCUCUGUUUUUCUGGAACCCUGAGGGAUUUUACACAUGUUCCCUAAUGCUCCAUUCUCACAAGCCCGGGGUCCUCUCACCCCCUCUCACCCCUAAGUUUGUCCCUAAGUUCACUGAGUCAACAGCCUCGCAUGGGGGCAGGGUCCAGACAGCACCUCUUUCUCUUCCUGCAUUUCUUCAGGAGCCAGAAAGGGAUGGGGGUGUCUCUCCUAAAUUGUAUCAAUGUCUGGCAGCUCCGUAAGCCCUGUGUUCUGUCAUCUCAGGUCACUCUGCUGGCCUUGGGCCCCUCUCUGUCCUGCUGACCAUUCUGGUCUGGGCCCUGGGGAAAGGGCUUUCCUUUGUUGUGUCACAGAAGAGCUCCCAGCAGAGCGCAGCUUUCGCGUCUCUCCUGCAUAUCUCGGCCCUCUGCUUCCAGCAGGCAGGCUCUCCCGGACUCAGGGACUCCAUGGUCCUCCACAGCCUGGCUGUCGUCAGGGUCUCCGCUCUUUAGUCCCCCUCUGUGCCGUGUUGAUGGAGCUUGUGUCUCUCAUCUUUGUUUUUCAAAUACAAUGGCUACAGGAAGUGCUCAACAGAAUUUUUUUUUUACAUAAUUGAGUGGAUGGAUGGAGGCAUGAGCCUCUACAUGCAAAAACAGAUAAAUGGAUAAUAACAAAGAAUAAAUUUCACUUUUAAAUUGUUGUUAAGGGUCAUAUUUGAUGUCUCACAUGAACUUGUUUGGGGCUGAACUCCUAAUGAAGAUAGC
RNAcentral lists this long non-coding RNA (1035 nucleotides) under Equus caballus (horse). RNAcentral's name for it is "lncRNA (ENSECAG00000035614.3)". Lineage: Eukaryota; Metazoa; Chordata; Mammalia; Perissodactyla; Equidae. The record is from RNAcentral.